RNAcentral lists this ribosomal RNA (274 nucleotides) under uncultured bacterium. RNAcentral's name for it is "partial 16S ribosomal RNA". It matches the Rfam family "Bacterial small subunit ribosomal RNA", at positions 523 to 796 of the family's 1533-position model. The record is from RNAcentral.
AUCCGGAGGGUGCAAGCGUUAAUCGGAAUUACUGGGCGUAAAGCGUACGUAGGCGGUUAUUUAAGUCAGAUGUGAAAGCCCCGGGCUUAACUUGGGAACUGCAUUUGAAACUGGGUAACUAGAGUUUAGUAGAGGGGAGUGGAAUUUCAGGUGUAGCGGUGAAAUGCGUAGAGAUCUGAAGGAACACCAGUGGCGAAGGCGACUCCCUGGACUAAAACUGACGCUGAGGUACGAAAGCGUGGGUAGCAAACAGGAUUAGAAACCCGAGUAGUCC